AGAAUCAACGCUGGCGGCGUGCCUAACACAUGCAAGUCGAACGAGAAAGUGGAGCAAUCCAUGAGUAAAGUGGCGCACGGGUGAGUAACACGUGACUAACCUACCUUUUAGUGGGGGAUAACCUAGGGAAACCUGGGCUAAUACCGCAUAACACUUACGAGUCAAAGCAGCAAUGCGCUGAAAGAGGGGGUCGCGGCCGACUAGCUAGUUGGCGGGGUAAUGGCCCACCAAGGCAGUGAUCGGUAUCCGGCCUGAGAGGGCGCACGGACACACUGGAACUGAAACACGGUCCAGACUCCUACGGGAGGCAGCAGUGGGGAAUUUUGCGCAAUGGGGGAACCCUGACGCAGCAACGCCGCGUGGAGGAUGAAGUCCCUUGGGACGUAAACUCCUUUCGAUCGGGACGAUAAUGACGGUACCGGAAGAAGGAAGCCCGGCUAACUUCGCGCCAGCAGCCGC
Molecule: ribosomal RNA, 459 nt
Filed under: uncultured bacterium
Lineage: Bacteria
Description: SSU rRNA
Rfam family: Bacterial small subunit ribosomal RNA
Source: RNAcentral